This 253-nucleotide ribosomal RNA is filed under the name uncultured bacterium. Its description in RNAcentral is "partial 16S ribosomal RNA". It matches the Rfam family "Bacterial small subunit ribosomal RNA", at positions 524 to 776 of the family's 1533-position model. The record is from RNAcentral.
UACGUAGGAGGCAAGCGUUGUCCGGAUUUACUGGGCGUAAAGAGCGCGCAGGCGGUCGUGCAAGUCGCGUGUGAAAGCCCCCGGCUCAACUGGGGAGGGUCACGCGAUACUGUUCGACUCGAAGGCAGGAGAGGGAAGCGGAAUUCCCGGUGUAGUGGUGAAAUGCGUAGAUAUCGGGAGGAACACCGGUGGCGAAGGCGGCAUCCUGGACCAAUUCUGACGCUGAGGAGCGAAAGCCAGGGGAGCAAACGGG